RNAcentral lists this ribosomal RNA (582 nucleotides) under uncultured bacterium. RNAcentral describes it as "bacterial SSU rRNA". It matches the Rfam family "Bacterial small subunit ribosomal RNA", at positions 164 to 722 of the family's 1533-position model. The record is from RNAcentral.
UAAUACCGCAUACAGUCCUGAUUUUGCGGAAUCGGGAUGAAAGGUGGGGACUCUUUAAGAGCCUACCACUCAAGGAGGGGCCCGCGUCCGAUUAGCUAGUUGGUGGGGUAACGGCCUACCAAGGCGACGAUCGGUAGCCGGCCUGAGAGGGUGAUCGGCCACAAUGGGACUGAGACACGGCCCAUACUCCUACNGGAGGCAGCAGUGGGGAAUAUUGGACAAUGGGCGAAAGCCUGAUCCAGCGACGCCGCGUAGGCGAAGAAGCUCUUCGGAGUGUAAAGCCUUGUCACCUGUGACGAAGGUGUUUACUUCGAAUAGGGGUAAACGCUUGACGGUAGCAGGAGAGGAAGCCCCGGCUAACUCCGUGCCAGCAGCCGCGGUAACACGGAGGGGGCGAGCGUUAUUCGGAAUUACUGGGCGUAAAGGGUACGUAGGCGGUCUGAUAAGUGUGGAGUGAAAUGCCUGGGCUCAACCUAGGACUUGCUCUGCAUACUGUCAGGCUUGAGUACGGGAGAGGCUGGUGGAAUUCCUGGUGUAGGGGUGAAAUCCGUANAUAUCAGGAGGAACACCGUUGGAGAAGUC